Molecule: ribosomal RNA, 253 nt
Filed under: uncultured bacterium
Lineage: Bacteria
Description: partial 16S ribosomal RNA
Rfam family: Bacterial small subunit ribosomal RNA
Source: RNAcentral
UACGUAGGGUGCAAGCGUUGUCCGGAAUUAUUGGGCGUAAAGAGCGUGUAGGCGGCCAGUUAGGUCCGUUGUGAAAACUCGAGGCUCAACCUCGAGACGCCGAUGGAAACCAACUGGCUAGAGUCCGGAAGAGGAGAGUGGAAUUCCCGGUGUAGCGGUGAAAUGCGCAGAUAUCGGGAAGAACACCCGUGGCUAAGGCGGCUCUCUAGUACGGUACUGACGCUGAGACGCGAAAGCGUGGGGAGCGAACAGG